AAGAACGUAGCGAAAUGCGAU
This 21-nucleotide non-coding RNA is filed under the name Arabidopsis thaliana (thale cress). The record is from RNAcentral. Lineage: Eukaryota; Viridiplantae; Streptophyta; Magnoliopsida; Brassicales; Brassicaceae.